Caenorhabditis elegans is the source of this 150-nucleotide non-coding RNA. Lineage: Eukaryota; Metazoa; Nematoda; Chromadorea; Rhabditida; Rhabditidae. The record is from Ensembl.
UUCUCCUUUUCCAUCUUUCAGAUGUCGCCAGAUGGCAGGGUUACUGUAGAAAAUUUCACUUUUUGCAGUGUUAGAGUCGCGCUCCAUUGCUACGCGUGAGAGAUAAGAGACGGCAAAGAUCUUUUUUUUUUGUUUCUCGGGCGCUAUCAU